RNAcentral lists this ribosomal RNA (427 nucleotides) under uncultured bacterium. RNAcentral describes it as "partial 16S ribosomal RNA". It matches the Rfam family "Bacterial small subunit ribosomal RNA", at positions 355 to 774 of the family's 1533-position model. The record is from RNAcentral.
UGGGGAAUAUUGCACAAUGGGCGCAAGCCUGAUGCAGCCAUGCCGCGUGUAUGAAGAAGGCCUUCGGGUUGUAAAGUACUUUCAGCGAGGAGGAAGGCGUUGUGGUUAAUAACCGCAGCGAUUGACGUUACUCGCAGAAGAAGCACCGGCUAACUCCGUGCCAGCAGCCGCGGUAAUACGGAGGGUGCAAGCGUUAAUCGGACUUACUGGGCGUAAAGCGCACGCAGGCGGUCUGUCAAGUCGGAUGUGAAAUCCCCGGGCUCAACCUGGGAACUGCAUCCGAAACUGGCAGGCUAGAGUCUUGUAGAGGGGGGUAGAAUUCCAGGUGUAGCGGGGAAAUGCGUAGAGAUCUGGAGGGAUACCGGUGGCGAAGGCGGCCCCCUGGACAAAGACUGACGCUCAGGUGCGAAAGCGUGGGGAGCAAACA